This is a long non-coding RNA of Mauremys reevesii (Reeves's turtle), 1060 nucleotides long. RefSeq lists it as uncharacterized. Lineage: Eukaryota; Metazoa; Chordata; Testudines; Geoemydidae. The transcript has 4 exons. The record is from RefSeq and is a predicted model, not a curated record.
GUACAUGUAGAACCAGGCGACCAAAUCCUUAGUUGUUUACUCUGUCUUUACUCAGCUGUUACUUGGGCAAACCCUAUUGGCCUGGAAUGGCGAACCACAGCCAGUGGGAGCUGCAAUCGGCUGAACCUACAGACGCUGCAGGUAAACAAUCCAUCAUGGUCUGCCAGUGGAUUUCCCUGAUGGGCUGCGUGCCAAAGGAUGCCGAUCCCUGCUACAGGUAAUGUUUCUGUUUGAGCCCACAGAGAUAUGUAGACAGAAAAGCUUCUCAUAUUCAGACAACAAUGCAUUCCCUCAACCCAGAAAAGUUUAAUACACAUGGGAAACAUGGACAGGCUUUUUUCUUCCAUAUGUUGCAGUCACAAUAAUACUUCUAAACACCCAGUGUAGUGGAAUUUAGGUGGGUAGAGCAGGUGGUGAGAGAGAGGCCUCUGCCAUUGCCCAAGUAAGAGUAAAGUAAACAAGGCCCAGAUGCAAGAGCCCUCAACAAGCCAAAAUGCCACUUCACAACAGCGCAAAGCCCCCUCUUUCCAGGUGUGUUCAUGGCACUCCUGGUUCUCCUCCCUGCCAAUUCUUACAUCUGUUCCCCGAGCCAUAAGACGUAGCCCAGAAAUCUCCAAGGAUAGGCUUUCCCUUGGAUCCAAAUACUGUGUGUCCAUGGCUCCCUUCUAGUCUUGCCUUAAUCCACCCUUGACCUUUGCUACAUAUAAAUCCAACUUUCCAAGAGAAGCCUACAAAAAGAGACCCUCAGAAAUAUUGCUGUUUUGUUUUCUUUCUUGCACACCCACUCUCUCAGUAUGACAACACAAUAUUGCCUCACAUCAAGGGGGAAACAUAAUUAGCAUACAUAUAUAAAGACACAACAUGAAUGGAUUCUAAAGAAAAGGACUGUUUUAAAUUAUUCUCUCCUUUCAUGUAUCUUUUGCUUCUGGGAUGAGUGAGCAUGGCUACCAGAGGAAGCUAAAAAGGGACUUAAAACAGACUAUGCUGAAGACUGCCAAGACGACAUCUGUUGAUUUCAUGCACCAGAACACUCUGCGAUGAAUAACUGAUGAAACAGGGA